UACGGGGGGGGCAAGCGUUGUUCGGAAUUACUGGGCGUAAAGGGCGCGUAGGCGGUUGGAUAAGUCAGCUGGGAAAACCACGAGCUCAACUUGUGGCCUGCAGUUGAAACUGUCUGGCUAGAGUGUGGGAGAGGGAAGUGGAAUUCCUGGUGUAGCGGUGAAAUGCGUAGAUAUCAGGAGGAACACCGGUGGCGAAGGCGGCUUCCUGGACCACAACUGACGCUGAGGCGCGAAAGCUAGGGGAGCAAACAGG
This 253-nucleotide ribosomal RNA is filed under the name uncultured bacterium. RNAcentral's name for it is "partial 16S ribosomal RNA". It matches the Rfam family "Bacterial small subunit ribosomal RNA", at positions 524 to 776 of the family's 1533-position model. The record is from RNAcentral.